AGGACGAACGCUGGCGGCGUGCUUAACACAUGCAAGUCGAGCGGAAAGGCCCUUCGGGGUACUCGAGCGGCGAACGGGUGAGUAACACGUGAGUAAUCUGCCCCUAGCUCUGGGAUAGCUCCGGGAAACCGGGAUUAAUACCAGAUACGACCACUUUAGACAUCUGCUGUGGUGGAAGAAUUUGGCUAGGGAUGAGCUCGCGGCCUAUCAGCUUGUUGUGAGGUAACGCUCACAAGGCGACGACGGUA
This 248-nucleotide ribosomal RNA is filed under the name uncultured bacterium. RNAcentral describes it as "partial small subunit ribosomal RNA". It matches the Rfam family "Bacterial small subunit ribosomal RNA", at positions 26 to 285 of the family's 1533-position model. The record is from RNAcentral.